This is a long non-coding RNA of Mesocricetus auratus (golden hamster), 283 nucleotides long. RefSeq lists it as uncharacterized. The record is from RefSeq and is a predicted model, not a curated record. NCBI's taxonomy places the organism in Eukaryota, Metazoa, Chordata, Mammalia, Rodentia, Cricetidae. The transcript has 3 exons.
UGUUGAAGGAGGCUGUUGAGGUGGUGGAUAUAAUAGAAUUGCUCCCUCGUUGCAGGAGGUCUUUGAGUUUCUUAUGUCCCAGAUGCAGUGUGACUAGACUUUUCAAGUUCUUUACAUCUUCAUAUCCAUGUCAUGAUGGACUACCCUCCCUCACAUAUAUAGGAAAAUAGAGAUGCCCAUCUCCAAGUAAUCAAAAGUCCUUGGACAUCGUUCUGUCUAAAGAAGAAGGGAAAGACUGGGUGUUGGUGGCAUAUGCCUUUAAUGCCAGCACUCAGGAGGCAGA